This 117-nucleotide non-coding RNA is filed under the name Tissierellia bacterium KA00581. Its description in RNAcentral is "FMN riboswitch aptamer (RFN element)". It matches the Rfam family "FMN riboswitch aptamer (RFN element)". From Rfam's summary of the family: The RFN element is a highly conserved domain that is found frequently in the 5'-untranslated regions of prokaryotic mRNAs that encode for flavin mononucleotide (FMN) biosynthesis and transport proteins. This element is a metabolite-dependent riboswitch that directly binds FMN in the absence of proteins. Lineage: Bacteria; Bacillati; Bacillota; Tissierellia. The record is from Rfam by way of RNAcentral. RNAcentral also lists the same sequence under 1 other name.
AUCUGUCUUCAGGGCGAGGGUUGUUUCCUCACCGGCAGUUAAAGUCUGCGAGCCUUUUUGGUUGAAUUGGUGAAAUUCCAAUACCGACAGUUAAAGUCUGGAUGAAAGAAGAUUUGA